GACGACGCUGGCGGCGUGGAUUAGGCAUGCAAGUCGAACGGUAUCAUCCUUUCGGGGGUGAGAGAGUGGCGAACUGGUGAGUAACACGUAGGUUAUCUACCUCAAGACGGGACAACCCAGGGAAACUUGGGCUAAUACCGGAUGUGAGCAACUUUUAGUGUUUGAAAGGUGGCGUAAGCUGUCGCUUGGGGAUGAGCCUGCGUCCUAUUAGUUAGUUGGUGAGGUAACGGCUCACCUAGGCAAUGAUAGGUAGGCGGCCUUAACGGGUGGUCGCCCACACUGGGAUUGAGAUACGGCCCAGACUCCUACGGGAGGCAGCAGUCGAGAAUAGUCUACAAUGGUCGGAAGACUGAUAGUGCGACGCCGCGUGAACGAUGAAUCCCUUCGGGGUGUAAAGUUCUUUUAUAUGUGAGCAGUGCUUCUUAUAUUAACAGUAUGGGGAGAGAGAUAUUAGCAUAUGAAUAAGCAACGGCUAACUCCGUG
Molecule: ribosomal RNA, 483 nt
Filed under: uncultured bacterium
Lineage: Bacteria
Description: bacterial SSU rRNA
Rfam family: Bacterial small subunit ribosomal RNA
Source: RNAcentral